This 440-nucleotide ribosomal RNA is filed under the name uncultured bacterium. Its description in RNAcentral is "partial 16S ribosomal RNA". It matches the Rfam family "Bacterial small subunit ribosomal RNA", at positions 338 to 795 of the family's 1533-position model. The record is from RNAcentral.
CCUACGGGGGGCUGCAGUGGGGAAUAUUGCACAAUGGGGGAAACCCUGAUGCAGCAACGCCGCGUGAGUGAAGAAGUAUUUCGGUAUGUAAAGCUCUAUCAGCAGGGAAGAAGAUGACGGUACGUGAGUAAUAAGCCCCGGCUAACGACGUGCCAGCAGCCGCUGUAAUCCGUAGGGGGCCAGCGUUAUCCGGAUUUACUUGGUGUAAAGGGGGCGUAGACGGUGAGACAAGUCUGAAGUGAAAGCCCGGGGGUCAACCCCGGGACUGCUUUGGAAACUGCCUGCCUGGAGUGCUGGAGAGGCAAGCGGAAUGCCUGGUGUAGCGGUGAAAUGCGUAGAUAUUAGGAGGAACACCAGUGGCGAAGGCGGCUUACUGGACUGUAACUGACGUUGAGGCUCGAAAGCGUGGGGAGCAAACAGGAUUAGAUACCCGUGUAGUC